AGGCUUAACACAUGCAAGUCGAGCGGGCGUAGCAAUACGUCAGCGGCAGACGGGUGAGUAACGCGUGGGAACGUACCUUUUGGUUCGGAACAACACAGGGAAACUUGUGCUAAUACCGGAUAAGCCCUUACGGGGAAAGAUUUAUCGCCGAAAGAUCGGCCCGCGUCUGAUUAGCUAGUUGGUGAGGUAAUGGCUCACCAAGGCGACGAUCAGUAGCUGGUCUGAGAGGAUGAUCAGCCACAUUGGGACUGAGACACGGCCCAAACUCCUACGGGAGGCAGCAGUGGGGAAUAUUGGACAAUGGGGGCAACCCUGAUCCAGCCAUGCCGCGUGAGUGAUGAAGGCCCUAGGGUUGUAAAGCUCUUUUGUGCGGGAAGAUAAUGACGGUACCGCAAGAAUAAGCCCCGGCUAACUUCGUGCCAGCAGCCGCGGUAAUACGAAGGGGGCUAGCGUUGCUCGGAAUCACUGGGCCGUAAAGGGUGCGUAGGCGGGUCUUUAAGU
RNAcentral lists this ribosomal RNA (501 nucleotides) under Bradyrhizobium japonicum. RNAcentral's name for it is "bacterial SSU rRNA". It matches the Rfam family "Bacterial small subunit ribosomal RNA", at positions 44 to 588 of the family's 1533-position model. Lineage: Bacteria; Pseudomonadati; Pseudomonadota; Alphaproteobacteria; Hyphomicrobiales; Nitrobacteraceae. The record is from RNAcentral.